AAAAUGUAUGCUUGCAUAAGUCGCUUUGGAUAAAAGCAUCUGCUAAAUGGCAUAUA
This is a non-coding RNA of Salmo salar (Atlantic salmon), 56 nucleotides long. NCBI's taxonomy places the organism in Eukaryota, Metazoa, Chordata, Actinopteri, Salmoniformes, Salmonidae. The record is from Rfam.